UACGUAGGUGGCGAGCGUUGUCCGGAAUUACUGGGUGUAAAGGGCGUGUAGGCGGGAAAGCAAGUCAGAUGUGAAAUACCGAGGCUUAACUUCGGGGCUGCAUCUGAAACUGUUUUUCUUGAGUGUCGGAGAGGAAAGUGGAAUUCCCAGUGUAGCGGUGAAAUGCGUAGAUAUUGGGAGGAACACCAGUGGCGAAGGCGACUUUCUGGACGAUAACUGACGCUGAGGCGCGAAAGCGUGGGGAGCAAACAGGAUUAGAUACCCUGGUAGUCCACGCCGUAAACGAUGGAUACUAGGUGUAGGAGGUAUCGACCCCUUCUGUGCCGGAGUUAACACAAUAAGUAUCCCACCUGGGGAGUACGGCCGCAAGGUUGAA
RNAcentral lists this ribosomal RNA (376 nucleotides) under uncultured bacterium. Its description in RNAcentral is "bacterial SSU rRNA". It matches the Rfam family "Bacterial small subunit ribosomal RNA", at positions 524 to 898 of the family's 1533-position model. The record is from RNAcentral.